AACCUAGCACACCUGCGGUGUGUACCUGCGGAGGGAUCAUUACAGAGUUCGUGCCCUCGCGGGUAGAUCUCCCACCCUUGUGUAUUCUCUACAUCUUGUUGCUUUGGCAGGCCGUUGGUUCGCCAACCACCGGCUCGCGGGCUGGUGCGUGCCUGCCAGAGGACCUCUCAAACUCGGCUUGUCAGUGUCGUCCGAGUACCAUAACAAUCGUUAAAACUUUUAACAAUGGAUCUCAGAUCG
RNAcentral lists this unclassified non-coding RNA (240 nucleotides) under soil metagenome. RNAcentral's name for it is "partial contains 5.8S ribosomal RNA, internal transcribed spacer 2, and large subunit ribosomal RNA". The record is from RNAcentral.